CCUACGGGAGGCAGCAGUGAGGAAUAUUGGGCAAUGGGCGCAAGCCUGACCCAGCGACGCCGCGUGGGCGAAGAAGGCCUUCGGGUCGUAAAGCCCUUUGGACAGGGACGAGUGAGGACGGUACCUGUCGAACAAGUCUCGGCUAACUACGUGCCAGCAGCCGCGGUAAAACGUAGGAGGCGAGCGUUAUCCGGAUUCACUGGGCGUAAAGCGCGCGUAGGCGGUCGGGUAAGUCGGAUGUGAAAGCCCCUGGCUCAACUGGGGGAGGCCAUUCGAUACUGCUCGGCUUGAGGGUGAGAGAGGGGAGUGGAAUUCCCGGUGUAGCGGUGGAAUGCGUAGAGAUCGGGAGGAACACCAGUGGCGAAGGCGGCUCUCUGCCUCACUCCUGACGCUGAGUGCGCGAAAGCGUGGGGAGCAAACGGGAUUAGAUACCCCUGUAGU
Molecule: ribosomal RNA, 441 nt
Filed under: uncultured Anaerolineae bacterium
Lineage: Bacteria; Bacillati; Chloroflexota; Anaerolineae
Description: partial 16S ribosomal RNA
Rfam family: Bacterial small subunit ribosomal RNA
Source: RNAcentral